This 484-nucleotide ribosomal RNA is filed under the name uncultured bacterium. Its description in RNAcentral is "partial 16S ribosomal RNA". It matches the Rfam family "Bacterial small subunit ribosomal RNA", at positions 28 to 523 of the family's 1533-position model. The record is from RNAcentral.
GACGAACGCUGGCGGCGUGCUUAACACAUGCAAGUCGAACGAUGAACCCGGAGCUUGCUCCGGCGGAUUAGUGGCGAACGGGUGAGUAACACGUGAGUAACCUGCCCUUUACUCUGGGAUAACUGCUAGAAAUGGUAGCUAAUACCGGAUACGACCCUCGGUGGCAUCACCAGGGGGUGGAAAGAAUUUCGGUCAAGGAUGGACUCGCGGCCUAGCAGCUAGUUGGUGAGGUAACGGCUCACCAAGGCGACGACGGGUAGCCGGCCUGAGAGGGUGACCGGCCACACUGGGACUGAGACACGGCCCAGACUCCUACGGGAGGCAGCAGUGGGGAAUAUUGCACAAUGGGCGCAAGCCUGAUGCAGCAACGCCGCGUGAGGGAUGACGGCCUUCGGGUUGUAAACCUCUUUUAGUAGGGAAGAAGCGAAAGUGACGGUACCUGCAGAAAAAGCACCGGCUAACUACAUGCCAGCCGCCGCCGUAA